RNAcentral lists this unclassified non-coding RNA (276 nucleotides) under uncultured fungus. Its description in RNAcentral is "sequence contains ITS1". The record is from RNAcentral. Lineage: Eukaryota; Fungi.
GUAUAGGUUUAAUGACUGCGACCAAGCACAAUCGUUAAAAGACAUUCUGUAACUUUAUAAGUGUAUAUGAAAACAUAGCCUUGAAGAAAAGCAAGCAGGAGAAGGACUUGCGCCCAUUCCCCCAGACCGCAUUGCUGCGAGAGGUUCACUUUUUUCAAGACUACAAAAUGUGCACAAGAGAAGAUAAAUAGAUGGACGAGCACAUGCCCCGUAAAGAGCCAGCAUCAGUACCAAUCGUAUUCAAUAAUGAUCCUUCCGCAGGUUCACCUACGGAAA